GGCCAGCAGCCGCGGUAAUACGUAGGUGGCGAGCGUUGUCCGGAAUUACUGGGCGUAAAGGGUGCGUAGGCGGAUACUUAAGUCAGAUGUGAAAUUCCGGGGCUUAACUUCGGAACUGCAUUUGAAACUGGGUGUCUAGAGUGCAGGAGAGGAAAGCGGAAUUCCUAGUGUAGCGGUGAAAUGCGUAGAUAUUAGGAAGAACACCAGUGGCGAAGGCGGCUUUCUGGACUGUAACUGACGCUGAGGCACGAAAGCGUGGGGAGCAAACAGGAUUAGAUACCCUGGUAGUCCACGCUGUAAACGAUGAGUGCUAGGUGUAGGGGGUUUCGAUGCCCUCUGUGCCGCAGUAAACGCAAUAAGCACUCCGCCUGGGGAGUACGGUCGCAAGACUAAAACUUAAAGGAAUUGGCGGGGGAU
Molecule: ribosomal RNA, 417 nt
Filed under: uncultured bacterium
Lineage: Bacteria
Description: bacterial SSU rRNA
Rfam family: Bacterial small subunit ribosomal RNA
Source: RNAcentral